RNAcentral lists this ribosomal RNA (441 nucleotides) under uncultured bacterium. RNAcentral describes it as "partial 16S ribosomal RNA". It matches the Rfam family "Bacterial small subunit ribosomal RNA", at positions 338 to 795 of the family's 1533-position model. The record is from RNAcentral.
CCUACGGGUGACAGCAGUGGGGAAUAUUGGGCAAUGGAGGAAACUCUGAUGCAGCGACGCCGCGUGAAGGAUGAAGGUUUUCGGUUUGUAAACUUCUGUCGCCAGGGAUGAAGAAUGACGGUACCUCGUAAGAAAGCCCCGGCAAACUACGUGCCAGCAGCCGCGGUAAUACGUAGGGGGCGAGCGUUGUCCGGAAUGACUGGGCGUAAAGGGAGUGUAGACGGCAUAUUAAGUUAUGUGUGAAAGCCCGCGGCUCAACCGCGGAAUUGCACAUAAAACUGUACGGCUGGAGUGCAGGAGAGGUAAGUGGAAUUCCUGGUGUAGCGGUGGAAUGCGUAGAUAUCGGGAGGAACACCAGAGGCGAAGGCGACUUACUGGACUGUAACUGACGCUGAGGCUCGAAAGCGUGGGGAGCAAACAGGAUUAGAUACCCUAGUAGUC